Molecule: ribosomal RNA, 253 nt
Filed under: uncultured bacterium
Lineage: Bacteria
Description: partial 16S ribosomal RNA
Rfam family: Bacterial small subunit ribosomal RNA
Source: RNAcentral
UACGAAAGGUGCGAGCGUUGUUCGGAUUGACUGGGCGUAAAGCGCGUGUAGGCGGUUUGGUAAGUCGGUUGUGAAAGCCCCGAGCUCAACUUGGGAAUUGCAGCCGAAACUACCUUACUUGAAUGCUUGAGAGGUCUGUGGAAUUCCAGGUGUAGCAGUGAAAUGCGUAGAUAUCUGGAGGAACACCAGCGGCGAAGGCGGCAGACUGGCAGUGCAUUGACGCUGAGACGCGAAAGCGUGGGGAGCAAACAGG